GAUCUAGCCAUGGGCAGGUUGAAGGUUGGGUAACACUAACUGGAGGACCGAACCGACUAAUGUUGAAAAAUUAGCGGAUGACCUGUGGCUGGGGGUGAAAGGCCAAUCAAACCGGGAGAUAGCUGGUUCUCCCCGAAAGCUAUUUAGGUAGCGCCUCGUGAAUUCAUCUCCGGGGGUAGAGCACUGUUUCGGCUAGGGGGCCAUCCCGGCUUACCAACCCGAUGCAAACUGCGAAUACCGGAGAAUGUUAUCACGGGAGACACACGGCGGGUGCUAACGUCCGUCGUGAAGAGGGAAACAACCCAGACCGCCAGCUAAGGUCCCAAAGUCAUGGUUAAGUGGGAAACGAUGUGGGAAGGCCCAGACAGCCAGGAUGUUGGCUUAGAAGCAGCCAUCAUUUAAAGAAAGCGUAAUAGCUCACUGGUCGAGUCGGCCUGCGCGGAAGAUGUAACGGGGCUAAACCAUGCACCGAAGCUGCGGCAGCGACACUGUGUGUUGUUGGGUAGGGGAGCGUUCUGUAAGCCUGCGAAGGUGGCCUGUGAGG
Molecule: ribosomal RNA, 544 nt
Filed under: Salmonella enterica subsp. enterica serovar Enteritidis
Lineage: Bacteria; Pseudomonadati; Pseudomonadota; Gammaproteobacteria; Enterobacterales; Enterobacteriaceae
Description: partial 23S ribosomal RNA
Rfam family: Bacterial large subunit ribosomal RNA
Source: RNAcentral